GGCAGGUCUCAGGUGACGCACCUUGGAAUUGGGCUCCCUCCUCUCUGGUUCUGGGUGCGUCACCCGAGAACUGCA
Myotis davidii is the source of this 75-nucleotide non-coding RNA. The record is from Rfam. NCBI's taxonomy places the organism in Eukaryota, Metazoa, Chordata, Mammalia, Chiroptera, Vespertilionidae.